Molecule: long non-coding RNA, 319 nt
Filed under: Vulpes vulpes (red fox)
Lineage: Eukaryota; Metazoa; Chordata; Mammalia; Carnivora; Canidae
Description: lncRNA (ENSVVUG00000029509.1)
Source: RNAcentral
UUCCUUUCCCUCAUAGAAGGAUUGCUUUGGACCUGCUUGUACAUAUGUUUGAAGGAUAAUUUGGCCUAAUUUGUUUACAGGAAUUACAAGAGUGACCUUUAUUCAGCUGUCUCCUUUUUGAUUCCCAUAACUUCUGGAUCUAUCAAGGUUCUGAAGAUAUAAAUAGAUGUCAAUCCUGUCCUCAGGAACUAACAAUCUGGUUGAUGAGAAGAGAGCAUAACAACUACGGUCUGGUGGAACAAGAGCUAUAAUACAGAUAUGUACAAUGUGCCGUGGUAAGCAGAGGAGGUUAAUUUCAUUAAUGGAGACAGAGUGGGCU